This 155-nucleotide ribosomal RNA is filed under the name uncultured Enterobacter sp. Its description in RNAcentral is "partial 16S ribosomal RNA". It matches the Rfam family "Bacterial small subunit ribosomal RNA", at positions 336 to 483 of the family's 1533-position model. Lineage: Bacteria; Pseudomonadati; Pseudomonadota; Gammaproteobacteria; Enterobacterales; Enterobacteriaceae. The record is from RNAcentral.
CUCCUACGGGAGGCAGCAGUGGGGAAUAUUGCACAAUGGGCGCAAGCCUGAUGCAGCCAUGCCGCGUGUAUGAAGAAGGCCUUCGGGUUGUAAAGUACUUUCAGCGGGGAGGAAGGGAGUAAAGUUAAUACCUUUGCUCAUUGACGUUACCCGCA